Molecule: ribosomal RNA, 117 nt
Filed under: Candidatus Latescibacterota bacterium
Lineage: Bacteria; Pseudomonadati; Candidatus Latescibacterota
Source: RNAcentral
UCCGGUGACCAUAGCGGAGGGGAAACACCUCUUCCCAUUCCGAACAGAGCAGUUAAGCCCUCCAGCGCCGAUGGUACUGCUAGGGCAACCUUGUGGGAGAGUAGGACGUUGCCGGGA